AUUGAACGCUGGCGGCAGGCCUAACACAUGCAAGUCGAGCGGAGUGGCGGACGGGUGAGUAAUGCCUAGGAAUCUGCCUGGUAGUGGGGGAUAACGUCCGGAUACGGGCGCUAAUACCGUAUCCUAUCAGAUGAGCCUAGGUCGGACUAGCUAGUUGGUGGGGUAAAGGCCUACAAAGGCGACGAUCCGUAACUGGUCUGAGAGGCUGAUCAGUCACACUGGAAACGAUACACGGGCCAGACUCCUACGGGAGGCAGCAGAGGGGAAUGUUGGGCAAUGGGCGAAAGCGUGAUCCAGCCAUGCCGGGUGUGUGAAGAGGGUCUUCGGAUUGUAAAGCUCUUUAAGUUGGUAGGCGGUACGUACAGAAUAAGCACCGGCUAACUACGUGCCAGCAGCCGCGGUAAUUC
Molecule: ribosomal RNA, 407 nt
Filed under: uncultured bacterium
Lineage: Bacteria
Description: partial 16S ribosomal RNA
Rfam family: Bacterial small subunit ribosomal RNA
Source: RNAcentral